AUUGAACGCUGGCGGCAUGCCUUACACAUGCAAGUCGAACGGCAGCGCGGACUUCGGUCUGGCGGCGAGCGGCGAACGGGUGAGUAAUACAUCGGAACGUACCCUGUUGUGGGGGAUAACUAGUCGAAAGAUUAGCUAAUACCGCAUACGACCUGAGGGUGAAAGUGGGGGACCGCAAGGCCUCACGCAGCAGGAGCGGCCGAUGUCUGAUUAGCUAGUUGGUGGGGUAAAGGCCCACCAAGGCGACGAUCAGUAGCUGGUCUGAGAGGACGAUCAGCCACACUGGGACUGAGACACGGCCCAGACUCCUACGGGAGGCAGCAGUGGGGAAUUUUGGACAAUGGGGGCAACCCUGAUCCAGCAAUGCCGCGUGUGUGAAGAAGGCCUUCGGGUUGUAAAGCACUUUUGUCCGGAAAGAAAUCGCGCUGGUUAAUACCUGACGUGGAUGACGGUACCGGAAGAAUAAGCACCGGCUAACUACGUGCCAGCCGCCGCCGUAA
RNAcentral lists this ribosomal RNA (500 nucleotides) under uncultured bacterium. RNAcentral describes it as "partial 16S ribosomal RNA". It matches the Rfam family "Bacterial small subunit ribosomal RNA", at positions 30 to 523 of the family's 1533-position model. The record is from RNAcentral.